CCUACGGGAGGCAGCAGUGGGGAAUAUUGGACAAUGGGCGCAAGCCUGAUCCAGCCAUGCCGCGUGUGUGAAGAAGGCCCUCGGGUUGUAAAGCACUUUCAGCGAGGAAGAACGCCUAGCGGUUAAUACCCGCUAGGAAAGACAUCACUCGCAGAAGAAGCACCGGCUAACUCCGUGCCAGCAGCCGCGGUAAUACGGAGGGUGCAAGCGUUAAUCGGAAUUACUGGGCGUAAAGCGCGCGUAGGUGGCUUGAUAAGCCGGUUGUGAAAGCCCCGGGCUCAACCUGGGAACGGCAUCCGGAACUGUCAAGCUAGAGUGCAGGAGAGGAAGGUAGAAUUCCCGGUGUAGCGGUGAAAUGCGUAGAGAUCGGGAGGAAUUCCAGUGGCGAAGGCGGCCUUCUGGACUGACACUGACACUGAGGUGCGAAAGCGUGGGUAGCAAACAGGAUUAGAUACCCUGGUAGUCCACGCCGUAAACGAUGUCGACCAGCCGUUGGGUGCCUAGCGCACUUUGUGGCGAAGUUAACGCKAUAAGUCGACCGCCUGGGGAGU
RNAcentral lists this ribosomal RNA (551 nucleotides) under uncultured bacterium. RNAcentral describes it as "bacterial SSU rRNA". It matches the Rfam family "Bacterial small subunit ribosomal RNA", at positions 338 to 881 of the family's 1533-position model. The record is from RNAcentral.